Molecule: ribosomal RNA, 402 nt
Filed under: uncultured prokaryote
Description: bacterial SSU rRNA
Rfam family: Bacterial small subunit ribosomal RNA
Source: RNAcentral
UGGGGAAUCUUGCACAAUGGGGGAAACCCUGAUGCAGCGACGCCGCGUGAGCGAUGAAGCCCUUCGGGGUGUAAAGCUCUUUCGGCAGGGAAGAUGAUGACGGUACCUGCAGAAGCAGCUGCGGCUAACUACGUGCCAGCAGCCGCGGUAAUACGUAGGCAGCAAGCGUUGUUCGGAGUUACUGGGCGUAAAGGGUGUGUAGGCGGUCGAUCAAGUUUGGUGUGAAAUCUCCCGGCUCAACUGGGAGGGUGCGCCGAAUACUGAUGGACUCGAGUGCGGGAGAGGAAAGUGGAAUUCCUGGUGUAGCGGUGAAAUGCGUAGAUAUCAGGAGGAACACCGGUUGCGAAGGCGGCUCUCUGGACUGUAACUGACACUGAGGCACGAAAGCGUGGGGAGCAAACA